AGAGUUUGAUCAUGGCUCAGAAUGAACGCUGGCGGCAGGCCUAACACAUGCAAGUCGAACGGAUCCUUCGGGAUUAGUGGCGGACGGGUGAGUAACGCGUGGGAACAUACCCAAAGGUACGGAAUAGCCUCGGGGAAACUGGGAGUAAUACCGUAUGUGGUCGAGAGACGAAAGAUUUAUCGCCUUUGGAUUGGCCCGCGUUGGAUUAGGUAGUUGGUGGGGGUAAAUGGCCUACCAAGCCGACGAUCCAUAGCUGGUUUGAGAGGAUGAUCAGCCACACUGGGACUGAGACACGGCCCAGACUCCUACGGGAGGCAGCAGUGGGGAAUCUUAGACAAUGGGGAAACCCUGAUCUAGCCAUGCCGCGUGAUCGAUGAAGGCCUUAGGGUUGUAAAGAUCUUUCAGAUGGGAAGAUAAUGACGGUACCAUCAGAAGAAGCCCCGGCUAACUCCGUG
This 455-nucleotide ribosomal RNA is filed under the name uncultured bacterium. Its description in RNAcentral is "bacterial SSU rRNA". It matches the Rfam family "Bacterial small subunit ribosomal RNA", at positions 8 to 507 of the family's 1533-position model. The record is from RNAcentral.